RNAcentral lists this ribosomal RNA (507 nucleotides) under uncultured bacterium. RNAcentral describes it as "bacterial SSU rRNA". It matches the Rfam family "Bacterial small subunit ribosomal RNA", at positions 16 to 518 of the family's 1533-position model. The record is from RNAcentral.
AUCCUGGCUCAGGAUGAACGCUAGCGGCAGGCUUAACACAUGCAAGUCGAGGGGCAUCGGGAGUAGCAAUACUGCCGGCGACCGGCGCAAGGGUGCGUAACGCGUGAGCAACAUGCCCGUAUCAGGGGGAUAAUCCAUGGAAACGUGGUCUAAUACCCCAUAGUAAUUAUGUAAGGCAUCUUAUAUAAUUUAAAGCUUUGGUGGAUACGGAUUGGCUCGCGUGACAUUAGCUGGAUGGUAAGGUAACGGCUUACCAUGGCUACGACGUCUAGGGGUUCUGAGAGGAAGGUCCCCCACACUGGAACUGAGACACGGUCCAGACUCCUACGGGAGGCAGCAGUGAGGAAUAUUGGACAAUGGAUGGAAAUCUGAUCCAGCCAUGCCGCGUGCAGGAAAGACGGCCCUAUGGGUUGUAAACUGCUUUUGUAUGGGAGCAAUAAGGGCUACGUGUAGUCCGAUGAGAGUACCAUACGAAUAAGCACCGGCUAACUCCGUGCCAGCCGCUGC